CCCGAAUCCCGGGAUUAGAAGCAUCGGGAUUUCGGGAUCCCGAUAUUUUCCGUACAGAAACAUCGUUCAUAAAGUGUAGCUGAUAGUAGGUAUGUAAAAAAAGGUAAGUGAGUAACAACGCAUUACAGUGCAGUUUUAUGUCCAAAGAUCUUACUUACGCCGUGCAAAGUCGUUAUGCACAAGUAUUGGUUACAUAUAUACCUAAUUGACAUUGUUUCACACCGUCUCAGCCUUCACAAUGUGGCGAGAGACGAGCUCUCUCUCGGCUCAUCUCUCGCUCCCCGCGACGUCCCUCGCGUACUCGGUUUAACAGAUCAUUUUGCACGAUGACAUACUAUGCCGACUAUCGAAUUCGAGUCCAUCGAGUGGGAGGAGGUCGGCCGUCUUCUCUGUGUGACUGUGGGAGCACGUCUGGUGGCUCAGUUACUGUCAGUGCCCCGUGGCUGGACGAUCCAUGAGGCUGGCCGGGCGCCCUGGGCAUGGUUACCGUUAGUGAAUAAUUAUUAAUUACGUGCCUUUGUGAUAAGCUAUAGCUAACUUUGCCAAAAUGUCGGAUUUUGCUUAAUUUAAAGGCAGUGCGGUGUGGGAACAUUAUCUAAGAAGUCAAGAUGGCCACACAGCAAAGUGUCGUCUUUGUAAAAAGGUACUGAAAAUAUCUGGAGGUUCCACCAAAGGACUUCACGUCCACCUCAGGAGCAAGCAUGGUGGUAUGAGUGUUGCUGGACCAUCCCGAUCCGGAGAGACGCCGCAAAACGUGUCCGGCGAAGGUCAAGAUGAGAGCGCUAAAACCACGGCACCGCAUCUAAAAGGAAUGAAGACCUUAGAUUGCUACUAUGUUUCCAAAACGGACGACGACCUGGAUGCUAUCCUAGCUAGAAUGUGCGCGAGAGAUGGGAUACCUUUUACAGUUUUCUGUACCUCACCGGACCUACGCGGACUUUUGGCUGCUAAAGGAUAUAAAAACCUUCCAACCCAUCACAACACGAUCCGCCGGCGUGUCCUCAAACACUGUGCUCGCCUGAAGUGUGACGUGAAGGCGAAGCUGGCCGAAGAAUUGUCAAAUGGCAAACGGUUCUCACUUACGAUCGACGAGUAUACGUCCCUGAAAAACCGUCGCUAUAUGAGCGUGACUGUCCACUGCGAAGGUAACAUGUGGGGUCUCGGUGUCGCGCGUUGUCACGGAUCGAUGCCAGCAGAGAAAUGUCUGGAUCUUCUGCAGGGCAAGCUGGCAGAAUUUGGCCUUGAACUCAGUAAGCACGUCACCUGCGUCACAACCGACGGAGCUUCGGUGAUGGUGAAAUUCGGGAAGUCACUGCCAUGUGAGCACCAACUCUGCUUCGCACUGUUCACCUCGCCGUUGUCGACGCUCUGUACUCGGGUGACGCCGGGCAGACCUCUGAACAAGCAGAUGACGACCGUGGUGGUGGUGGACCUAACCAGGUGAACUCGUCAGAUGAAUCCGACGGUGAUGACGAGGAUGAGGACGACAACGUGGAAGAAAACACUACUGGUGCUACUGGUCACCACGAACUACAUAGUUCGCUCUCUCCAGUCGUUAAAAGCAUUAGAAACAUUGUCCGCUGGUUUAGAAAAUCGCCCGUACGAAAUGAAGUCCUUCAGAAAUACGUCAGAGAGGAGCGUGGGCAGGAACUGAUGCUAGUGCUAGACUGUAAAACCCGAUGGAAUAGUUUGUAUGACAUGCUAGAACGAUUUGAUAACCUCAAAGCAGCUGUCCACAAAGCACUCAUUGACAUAGGAGACAAACGUAUGAAAAUGAUCGAUGAUUAUGAAUACGCCGCCAUACCUGCGCUCAUUCGCUGCCUGAGAAUCAUGAAACUCGGAGCAGAAGCGCUAUGCAGGAGAGAAAGUGGACUAUUGGAGGCUGAAGCUGCUCUAAAGUUUAUGUUAAGCGCGCUUGACAAGGAGGACUGCGCGAUUGCAUGUAAACUGUCUGAUGCGUUGAAACAGCGCAUCCGACAGAGACGGUCACGUGCGGCUUAAGUCCUACAAUCGCUCCAUAACAAAACGUCGGCAGACAGAGACUGGAAAGAUAUUUUUCCUAGUGCCUCUCGCAAGGAAGCACAGGACUUAGUUGUCCACAUGAUGGAAAGAUUGGGAGAACAGAUGCAUGAUACCGAAGUAGGUGUAGAUACAGAAGUGAUGGACGCUGAUGAUCCUGAAUCAGCGCCGUCUCUUCAGUCGAUGCUUCAACAAGCUCUAGAUGAGGUUAGAGCUCCAGAGCAAGGCACCAGUUCAUGCCCGUCUGGGAUUAACUUUUCGCAAUCUUCUCUGAUGAUGACGAAGGCCAUAAGGAAAGAAUUGGAAAAUUUACCUAUCUCAGGAAGGACAGGCAUGGUAGCGCUGUCCUACAACUGGCUGAAGGGCAUAGUUCCUACGAGCGUUGAAUCGGAACGAGUGUUUUCCACUGUCGGGAAUAUCGUCACAAAAGUGCGGUCGAGUCUCGGCGACGAAGUCGUUGAUGCACUUUGCUUCCUCAAGUGCUACUACCGUAACAAGUGAAUGUGACCAGGACAUGCUGCUGGUCAGACGACCACAAUCCGUAGGCACGUCUACUGUAUCCUGACUCGAAAUAUAAACAAGAAAUACAAUGAUCAAUGUCA
RNAcentral lists this long non-coding RNA (2621 nucleotides) under Amphibalanus amphitrite. RNAcentral's name for it is "uncharacterized LOC122383370". The record is from RNAcentral. Lineage: Eukaryota; Metazoa; Arthropoda; Thecostraca; Balanomorpha; Balanidae.